UUCGUUGUCAUUUAGUCAGGUAUGAUGUCUGGCUAUCACCCAGUUUUCCUGGGUUCAAAUCCUAACAUUGAAA
Glycine soja is the source of this 73-nucleotide non-coding RNA. The record is from Rfam. NCBI's taxonomy places the organism in Eukaryota, Viridiplantae, Streptophyta, Magnoliopsida, Fabales, Fabaceae.